Molecule: ribosomal RNA, 484 nt
Filed under: Lasiodiplodia pseudotheobromae
Lineage: Eukaryota; Fungi; Ascomycota; Dothideomycetes; Botryosphaeriales; Botryosphaeriaceae
Description: eukaryotic LSU rRNA
Rfam family: 5.8S ribosomal RNA (bases 140-293)
Source: RNAcentral
UUACCGAGUUUUCGGGCUUCGGCUCGACUCUCCACCCUUUGUGAACGUACCUCUGUUGCUUUGGCGGCUCCGGCCGCCAAAGGACCUCCAAACUCCAGUCAGUAAACGCAGACGUCUGAUAAACAAGUUAAUAAACUAAAACUUUCAACAACGGAUCUCUUGGUUCUGGCAUCGAUGAAGAACGCAGCGAAAUGCGAUAAGUAAUGUGAAUUGCAGAAUUCAGUGAAUCAUCGAAUCUUUGAACGCACAUUGCGCCCCUUGGUAUUCCGGGGGGCAUGCCUGUUCGAGCGUCAUUACAACCCUCAAGCUCUGCUUGGAAUUGGGCACCGUCCUCACUGCGGACGCGCCUCAAAGACCUCGGCGGUGGCUGUUCAGCCCUCAAGCGUAGUAGAAUACACCUCGCUUUGGAGUGGUUGGCGUCGCCCGCCGGACGAACCUUCUGAACUUUUCUCAAGGUUGACCUCGGAUCAGGUAGGRAUACCCG